UGGUCACAAAGACGACUGAUGUAGAGU
RNAcentral lists this non-coding RNA (27 nucleotides) under Homo sapiens (human). Lineage: Eukaryota; Metazoa; Chordata; Mammalia; Primates; Hominidae. The record is from RNAcentral.